Molecule: ribosomal RNA, 253 nt
Filed under: uncultured bacterium
Lineage: Bacteria
Description: partial 16S ribosomal RNA
Rfam family: Bacterial small subunit ribosomal RNA
Source: RNAcentral
UACGUAGGGUGCGAGCGUUAAUCGGAAUUACUGGGCGUAAAGCGUGCGCAGGCGGUGAUGUAAGACAGGUGUGAAAUCCCCGGGCUUAACCUGGGAGCUGCAUUUGUGACUGCAUCGCUGGAGUGCGGCAGAGGGGGAUGGAAUUCCGCGUGUAGCAGUGAAAUGCGUAGAUAUGCGGAGGAACAUCAGUGGCGAAGGCGGCCUUCUGGUCCAGUACUGACACUCAAGUGCGAAAGCGUGGGGAGCAAACAGG